GACGAACGCUGGCGGCGUGCCUAAUACAUGCAAGUAGAACGCUGAAGAGAGGAGCUUACUCUUCUUGGAUGAGUUGCGAACGGGUGAGUAACGCGUAGGUAACCUGCCUUGUAGCGGGGGAUAACUAUUGGAAACGAUAGCUAAUACCGCAUAACAAUGGAUGACACAUGUCAUUUAUUUGAAAGGGGCAAUUGCUCCACUACAAGAUGGACCUGCGUUGUAUUAGCUAGUAGGUGAGGUAAUGGCUCACCUAGGCGACGAUACAUAGCCGACCUGAGAGGGUGAUCGGCCACACUGGGACUGAGACACGGCCCUGACUCCUACGGGAGGCAGCAGUAGGGAAUCUUCGGCAAUGGGGGCAACCCUGACCGAGCAACGCCGCGUGAGUGAAGAAGGUUUUCGGAUCGUAAAGCUCUGUUGUAAGUCAAGAACGGGUGUGAGAGUGGAAAGUUCACACUGUGACGGUAGCUUACCAGAAAGGGACGGCUAACUACGUG
Molecule: ribosomal RNA, 497 nt
Filed under: uncultured bacterium
Lineage: Bacteria
Description: partial 16S ribosomal RNA
Rfam family: Bacterial small subunit ribosomal RNA
Source: RNAcentral